CGGCUGGCCGCGGAGCUGCGGUUGCGCCGGUAAGAGCCGCGGCAGCCCGGAGGGAAAGGGAGCGGUGUCCGAGUCGUAGCCAGAUGAGUAUAGCAGCUGAGCGUGCACAGUCCUCAAGAGAGAAAAGGAGGAGGUACCAUUUUCCAUCUCUCUCACAUCACCAGAGUAGCAGUGGGACAGAAGUUCCAGAAAAAGACACGCAAACAGUUUGGAAAUGCCAACUCUAGUAUCUGUUCCUGUGCCAAUUCUGUGAUAUGGACAUCUUUCCACUGUGACUGAAAUGAUGAUGUUGAGAGCUUGGAGACUAAAACAUAACAUUCAGCUCAUGGAACACCAGUCAGUGAAUGAAGCUCCGUUUCUUUCCUCCUUUCACUUUUCCACUUGGAUAUGUCAGGAGUUUCUACAAGAAUGGAAAAAUGUAAGUCAAGACCAUUGACUAAGAGUGUCAAAUUCAAAACAAAUCCAGCAGUUAUAUGCGUGCAUGCUAGCAUGGAGUAUUGCAACUCAACCACUUUUCAUUGGCUGCUUUUCCAGACAAAAAGUAUCCUGCAGAGUUUCAAACAUGCAACAGAGAAUGUUGAUGAUGCUGUCUCUGGAGAGACAUCUCAAGUUAUUAGUUUGGACAUCAAACACCAUCUUGAACUGUUUGGGGUUAAGAACAGGUGUAAGUGAAGCUACUUAUAAAUAACACAUGUUCCACUUCCUCUGGUAAUACUGACAAAAAUGUCUGUACUACAGUCAACCUCUUUCAGCUAAAUGAUUCCGUCUGUAUUGAACAUUAUAUUGCUGCAGAGACUUAUCAACAAAUGUUUUGAGACAGUGUUUUCAUUGUGAGCAUUGACAGAGUUAGAUGGGUAAACUUUGAGCAAAUUUUCUGAUGGUCAAAUUGGCAGAAUUCUCUGAGUUAUCUGUAAUUUUUCUGUUGAAAUGUUUUGCUUCAGAAAAUUCAGUUUGUUCAAAGCAGAAUUUUGUCAGGAGAAAUGUUAGUUUACUGAGAGAACAAUAGGUAAUUGUUUGACUUCUUAUUUUGAAAUGUAGGGUGAUUGUAUGCUUGCACGUGCAGACAUGCAGAGCGUGCUAUAAGAUGGAAAACAUCAUUUUGAUUAACUGAAAAAUUUCUAUAACUUUCAGUUAACAAAACAUUAAAGAUUGCUACUUUUUUCAUUUAUAAACAUUAAAUAUCCUUUUAGGAUAGGAAAAUGCUGCCCAUAAGUUUACAUGAAAGGAUAUAAUUUAAAUUUGGCAUUUGGUGCUAUGCCAAGUUUACUGGUAUUUAUUAUCAGUUGGUCAGUAAGAUUUCAUAAUGCAAUUGUACAUGCAUUUAAGUAAAUGCCUGCUAAGACGACUUAAAGCUUUGUUGCCACAUGAAGAACACAGAAGAGGAGAUGGCUUUGACAGGUUAUCUAUUAUGUUUCCAAUAUAUUGCUUCACAGUUGUUUUGGGGCCGAUUUAUGGAUGUUAUCUUAUUUUGAGCCUUCCAGUGCUCUUUAUUCAAGGAAUGCAUCUACUCAGUUUGUAAAAUAUAUAAACGUGUAUGUGUGUGUGAGAGAGUAUAUAUAUACACACUACACUAAUUAUGUAUUAUGCUUAUUAGUGUAUUUUACUUCAGCUGUAUACACGAAAACAAACUAUUACAUUUUUUAAAAAGUCCAUGUUGCUUUUGUCUGAAUAUAACCCACAUAUGAAGCAGUACAGAAGAUAUGCAGUACUGAAGUUUAGGUGACACUUAGCUGGAAAUCUGUGGAAAUUAUCUUUGAAUGUUCCUGCAGCUCUGAUAAUAUAACUGAACUAAUGACUUUUAUAUUUUGUAUAUACCUAAAUGAGAAAAAGGACAUUUCAAAGGUCAGCUAAGCCCCACUUUCUUGUAAAUUAUUUAGACUGGUGUAAGGAAUGCUCACAAAACUAUUCAGCUUCUAAGCAACCACCAAUAAAAAUACAUUCUGUAAGUACAAACUUAGUUCUUUGAAGCUUUACUCAUGUAGACAGUUCUAUCAAAACUAAAGAAAACAUAUAGAUGAUUCAGGUUGUGCAGGGCCAGGACUCAAAAAGGCACUGUUUUGGGAUGCUCAGCAUAAUAAAUACAUGUUGCAAGGUGAAAAACCCUCUAAAACUAGAGGCAGCUUCAUAAUGAUCUAGAAUCUUUGCUAUAAAAUGACACUGAUGAUGCUCAAAAGGUAGGAAAAAAAAGCUCUCCUAUAUUUGUAUAAAACUGUAGUGUAUUUCAGCUACAUAAUAACGUGAGCCACAAGCUAAUCAGCAUGUUGAAAUGUGAGAUGAUGUUAUAACUUAGUUACAAUUUAGGAUUAUAUGUUACAAAACACCUCAAAACACCUCCUUCAGUGCUCCUGAUACAGUUGCAGCUGCGAGCUUUCAUUCCUUUUGAAAACUAUGUGCAGGUGAUAGGAACUUAAACAACAACAACAACAACAACAAAAAAAAGACUGAAGAAAAUCAAGUUCGAAAAAUUUGCCAAUCAUCACGUAGGAAAUUGGCAGCAGAAUUAGGACUUUUGGGAUGUAACUUUUCAGAUCUAUUUUUUUUUAUCCAUGACAGAUAAUAAUCUAGGCCAUGUCUAUACAAGAAAAUGUUGAACUACUUUUAAAAGAAUGAUUAUAAGCCAGAUGCACUUGAAAGUUUGCCAGCUCCUUAAAUUGUUUUUGUAAUUUACAAAAUUCAGCUAAACUGAUUGAAGAGAUGAUAAAGUCAAUUUAAGUCACCUAGUUUAGGGAGCUGCAUCUGCAACUUUUCCCUCUAGACAAGACCUUGCCUAGUAAGUAGGAGGAUCAAUGGCAGAUGAAUGCAAUUGGCAAUGUAAGAAGCUGGUAAAAACAGAUUUGUUAUUAUUUGUGUGCAUUAUUUUGUAAACUAUGCAGGCAGGAAUUUUGUUUUCAUAAAUCUCUAAAGUGACAGCUAACACUUACUAAAAUUAAUACUAAUAAUAUAGACAAUGAUGUACUAAAUUGUUUUCAAUAUAGUUAUUCCAAUUUUACAGGGGUGUAGUGUUGAACUGAGUUUACUCCAUUAAGACAAAUGCAGCUACGUACAGCAAUAGGCCACUUUGUACCCUGAGUUACAUGUGUUCACUUUGAUCUGAACUGCAUGGUUCUAACUAAAGAAGAGAUAAAAGAAGGUACAGAAAGAAUAGAUGUUGCUUUGUUUAAAUUUGUAAUUCACAUAGUAUAUAUAUUUUUUUGCUAUAUUCUGUAAUAAAUAAAUAAAGGCACUGUUUGUUUGAAGCAUGCUGAGUGAUGACCUGACCUGGCAAGUAGGCCUUGCUGGAAAACUCUUAGAGAAACAGAACUUUUAUUCAUCAGUGUAGGAUCUGUUUUUUUGCUGUGGAAGAAGGGUUUGAUUCUUUUCUGUCUUGUACUAUUAGAUCUGUUUGAAGCAAUGAAGUGAUUAUUUUAUUGA
Rhea pennata is the source of this 3411-nucleotide long non-coding RNA. RefSeq lists it as uncharacterized. The record is from RefSeq and is a predicted model, not a curated record. Lineage: Eukaryota; Metazoa; Chordata; Aves; Rheiformes; Rheidae. The transcript is spliced from 6 exons.